GAGUUUGAUCCUGGCUCAGGACGAACGCUGGCGGCGUGCUUAACACAUGCAAGUCGAACGAGAAUCUACUGAAAGAGUUUUCGGACAAUGGAAGUAGAGGAAAGUGGCGGACGGGUGAGUAACGCGUGAGGAACCUGCCUUGAAGAGGGGGACAACAGUUGGAAACGACUGCUAAUACCGCAUGAUGCAUAAGGGUCGCAUGAUUCUUAUGCCAAAGAUUUAUCGCUUCAAGAUGGCCUCGCGUCUGAUUAGCUAGUUGGCGGGGUAACGGCCCACCAAGGCGACGAUCAGUAGCCGGACUGAGAGGUUGAACGGCCACAUUGGGACUGAGAUACGGCCCAGACUCCUACGGGAGGCAGCAGUGGGGAAUAUUGGGCAAUGGGCGCAAGCCUGACCCAGCAACGCCGCGUGAAGGAGAAGGCUUUCGGUAUGUAAACUUCUAUCAGCAGGAGAAAAUGACGGUACCUGACUAAGAAGCCCGGCUAACUACGUGCCAGCCGCCGCAGU
Molecule: ribosomal RNA, 507 nt
Filed under: uncultured microorganism
Description: bacterial SSU rRNA
Rfam family: Bacterial small subunit ribosomal RNA
Source: RNAcentral